Molecule: microRNA precursor, 84 nt
Filed under: Bombyx mori (domestic silkworm)
Lineage: Eukaryota; Metazoa; Arthropoda; Insecta; Lepidoptera; Bombycidae
Description: mir-2807 microRNA precursor family
Rfam family: mir-2807 microRNA precursor family
Source: Rfam by way of RNAcentral
UUAACUCAUAUUUGUAUGGAAUGGGAUCGUUUGCCUACGUUUGCCGCUAGGGGCGUUGUUACAACUGCAUACAAAUUUAAAAAA